This 126-nucleotide non-coding RNA is filed under the name Moschus moschiferus (Siberian musk deer). The record is from RNAcentral. Lineage: Eukaryota; Metazoa; Chordata; Mammalia; Artiodactyla; Moschidae.
GUGUUGUAUGUAAGGAGAGAAGAUCAGCACUCCCCUUGACAAGGACGGAAGAGGCUCUCGGGCCUGACAACAUGUAUACAGUUAAGGCAUUGCCACCGAUUUCAUGUCAUCUAACCACUGUUUUUU